Malus domestica (apple) is the source of this 2916-nucleotide non-coding RNA. The record is from RefSeq and is a predicted model, not a curated record. NCBI's taxonomy places the organism in Eukaryota, Viridiplantae, Streptophyta, Magnoliopsida, Rosales, Rosaceae.
GUGACCAACUGCGAGUCAAUGGCAACCUUCCUCAAAUAUAACCCUCCACCCUCCGCACUUUGUCGUAAUUCGUAUUGCUUCUCUGUCUACCUUCCCGCCGGUAACUUCAGCUCUAAGGUUUUUUGGGGAGGGGUUUAGUUGGGGUGAGAGAGAGUAAAGUUUGAAUUUUGCAAAAAGAAGAGAGAGAAAAGUUGCUUUUGGCUUUUGGGUUUGAACACGAAGAAGAAGAAGAGAUGGAUGUAACAGAAGUUACAGUGAUACACCACGUGGGGAUUGUGUUAAUGGUGAUCUGGUUUCUCUCUCACUUCAAUUGCUGCCACCCAGUUGCCUACUUCAUCUCUCUCAUUUAUCUCUACCUGGUUCAUGAGCGGUAUGUUAUGAGAUUGCGGAAGAAAUUACAAUUUGAGGAAAGAAAACAGGCUAAUCAGAGAAGGGUACUUUCUGAUUCUGAGACCGUGCGGUGGUUGAACCAUGCAGUUGAAAAGAUAUGGCCUAUAUGUAUGGAACAGAUUGCUUCACAGAAAGUUCUCCUCCCUAUCAUACCUUGGUUUUUGGAGAAGUACAAACCGUGGACUGUUGGUAAAGCUAUAGUACAGCAUCUUUACUUGGGAAGAAACCCACCUAUGUUCACAGAGAUGAGAGUUCUUCGCCAAUCUACUGAUGAUGACCACUUGGUUCUGGAGUUGGGGAUGAAUUUUCUGACAGCUGAUGAUAUGCUUGGAAUUCUAGCUGUGAAACUGAGGAAAAGACUAGGUUUUGGAAUCUGGGCAAAGUUGCAUAUUACAGGCAUGCAUGUUGAAGGGAAGGUCCUGAUUGGGGUGAGGUUCCUUUGCAAGUGGCCUUUCCUAGGCCGUGUGCGGUUAUGCUUCGUUGAGCCUCCAUAUUUUCAAAUGACCGUCAAGCCUAUUUUCACUCAUGGGCUUAACGUUACAGAAGUCCCUGGGAUUGAUGGCUGGCUGGAUAAGCUUCUCUCUGUUGCCUUCGAGCAGACACUUGUUCAGCCUAAUAUGCUGGUCGUUGACAUGGAGAAAUUUACUUCACCGGAACAGGAAAGCUGGUUCUCUGUGGAUGAGAAGGAUCCUGUUGCUUAUGUGAGAGUAGAAGUUAUCAAAGCAUCUGACAUCAAAGCCUCUGAUCUAAAUGGAUUCGCUGACCCUUAUGUGAAGGGUCAUUUGGGUGUUUACCAAUUCAAAACUAAGAUACAAAAGAAAACGCUGACUCCAAAAUGGCACGAGGAAUUUAAGAUCCCCAUAAUCACCUGGGAUUCACCAAAUGUACUAGCUAUUGAAGUUCAUGACAAGGACAUGUUUGUUGAUGAUGCCCUUGGAGAGUGUUCCAUUAACAUCAGCGAUUUUAGGAAUGGCGGGAGGCAUGACAUGUGGUUGCCUCUUCAGAAGGCUGGGAGGCUGCAUCUUGCAGUAACCAUACUUGACGAAAAUGGGAAGGAACAGAAAAAUCUUCAGGGGUUUGACUUGAACCGCUUUCAUACACAGGGAGAUGACUCUCCAGAUGUUCAGGAAAAGCCAGAUGUGAAAGAACGAAGAAAUUCCUUUGCCAGUGACACUGGUAAUAAAGGUUCCUUCUCAUCUAUAUCCUCAGGGAAAUCUGCAAAAGUAGCAGAUCAUUUUGAGCCGAUUGAUAUUGAUGGCCAGAAAGAGACUGGUAUAUGGGUCCAUCACCCAGGAAGUGAAGUUUCACAAACUUGGGAGGCCAGAAAAGGAAAGGGUCGACGACUUAAUACCCAAAAUUCAAGGGGAGCCUAAUGGUAGUGGCAUUGGAUCCCAAGUUAAUGAUACCAGCAGCACUGAUGAAAAUCCUGAAGAUAAACGGCGAAUGGCAUCAGUUCGCAGGGGUCUGCAUAAGAUCGGUUCGGUGUUCCAUAGGAAUUCCAAGGAGGAUAAUUCAUUGCACCUUUAAAGAGCCACUCGAAACCCCACGCGUGAAUCUAAGGGCAGUUAAUGAAAAUAAUAUUGGUGUGAGAUAUGUUGUGGAAGACGGCCUUUGUAGCUCUCCUUCUGGCAAGACAAAUUCAAAAGGAGGGGCUUUAAGUUCUGGAGAGAGUGGUUCGGAUAGCCCAGGAAAGGGCAAUGUUAAAGACAUGGCAAAGAGUCUCUACAAAAGUGCUGAAAGGUCGGUAAAGCAUGCACUUUCACGGAAAGGUUCUAGAAAGUCUCAAGUUGAUCCCCGUGCGGUGAGUGAAAAAGAAAUUUUAGCAGAUUCGACCUCUUCUGAUGACGAUGAUUCUCUUCCGCCCCCAUUUGUUGAAAUGAUACCAGUUCCCUCCAAGGCUAUACCUUGCAGCUCCGAUAUUGAUUCAGGUGUACCAGAGGAGCCCGUGGUUCAGCUGGUAACUAACACCGCAGUGGAUGCUGAAGUCCCAGCGAAGAAGGUUGAACUUGGAGAACUCGAAAAAGUGGAUGAGGAGCUGGACAGCCCUGGAAGAAGUGGCGAUGCAUUGUGCGAGCCGUCAAGAGUUGAAGCUAGCUGAUUCAGAUUUGAAGGUGAAAGCAUGUGAAAUUAGUGCAUGGACUGCUAUAUAAGAGAGCUCAUAUUGUUCCUCUUGUGGCUGGAUUAGCAGAUUUAUUUGAAGGGUCGAGGUCCGGUGUGCAUGUCCAGGCCGCAUAAUUGAUGUUCUUGUGAAACACUCGGCCGAACAAACGCGUUGAUACGCGUUUUCACCUUGAAAAAAAACAGUUCUAUACUGAACUUGAGGAACUCUGAUGCAGCUAUAGGUUUGUCUUAUAUGUUAAAUUUAUGUAGCGCUUUGGAAGGCGAAUGAAGAAUCUGUUUUAAGAUUUCUUCUUUUUGUAGUUAUGUUGCAAAUAUGUGAGUUGUUUGAGAAAAGUUAUGUAAUUUGACCUUUAGUUUAAUGCACAAGCAAAAAAGCCCGUGCGAUGCCGUGGGUUUACAACUCUA